Sebastes umbrosus (honeycomb rockfish) is the source of this 129-nucleotide long non-coding RNA. RefSeq lists it as uncharacterized. The transcript has 3 exons. The record is from RefSeq and is a predicted model, not a curated record. Lineage: Eukaryota; Metazoa; Chordata; Actinopteri; Perciformes; Sebastidae.
UUGGUGGAUUUUUCUACCUUUGGACAGAGCCAGGCUUGCUGUUUCCCCCUGUAUCCAGUCUUUAUGCUAAGCUAAGCUAAGCUAACCAGCGGCUGGCUUUAGCUUUAUAUUUAACAGAGUGAUGUGAGU